GAUUUCUUGUGCUAAAGCUUGUAUAAAUAAAUCUCCAAAUUUUCGUCCAUCAAUGAAAAAGGUACUUCUAGCUCUUGAAGGGAAUUUGCCUCUAGAGAAUUUAUGCGAUGAGAAAAACGACAACAAGUGGCGAUGGCCGCGUGCUGCAUAUGAAGCACACACGGAAGAAAUCUCGCCGGCAGUCAUGGGUGGCUCUUUCUUGACCGGGUUGUUCAAUAGGAUGAGAAACGCUAAUCGCCAACCCAAAGGAGUAAAAAAAGAAGAGGAAGGAGCUAUUCCAACGCAAGCAACUAAUGUCGAC
This 301-nucleotide unclassified non-coding RNA is filed under the name Hevea brasiliensis (rubber tree). The record is from RNAcentral. Lineage: Eukaryota; Viridiplantae; Streptophyta; Magnoliopsida; Malpighiales; Euphorbiaceae.